GACGAACGCUGGCGGCGUGCUUAACACAUGCAAGUCGUACGGUAAGGCCCUUUCGGGGGUACACGAGUGGCGAACGGGUGAGUAACACGUGAGUAACCUGCCCACAACUUUGGGAUAACGCUAGGAAACUGGUGCUAAUACUGGAUAUGUGCCCCUGCUGCAUGGUGGGGGUUGGAAAGCUCCGGCGGUUGUGGAUGGACUCGCGGCCUAUCAGCUUGUUGGUGGGGUAGUGGCCUACCAAGGCGGCGACGGGUAGCCGGCCUGAGAGGGUGACCGGCCACAUUGGGACUGAGAUACGGCCCAGACUCCUACGGGAGGCAGCAGUGGGGAUUAUUGCACAAUGGGCGCAAGCCUGAUGCAGCAACGCCGCGUGCGGGAUGACGGCCUUCGGGUUGUAAACCGCUUUCAGCAGGGACGAAGCUUUUUGUGACGGUACCUGCAGAAGAAGCACCGGCUAACUACGUG
This 465-nucleotide ribosomal RNA is filed under the name uncultured bacterium. RNAcentral's name for it is "partial 16S ribosomal RNA". It matches the Rfam family "Bacterial small subunit ribosomal RNA", at positions 28 to 507 of the family's 1533-position model. The record is from RNAcentral.